AGAGAUGCAUUGGGUUUAAAGGGUGCGCAGGCGGUUUUGUAAGACAGAGGUGAAAUCCCCGGGCUCAACCUGGGAACUGCCUUUGUGACUGCAAGGCUGGAGUGCGGCAGAGGGGGAUGGAAUUCCGCGUGUAGCAGUGAAAUGCGUAGAUAUGCGGAGGAACACCGAUGGCGAAGGCAAUCCCCUGGGCCUGCACUGACGCUCAUGCACGAAAGCGUGGGGAGCAAACA
RNAcentral lists this ribosomal RNA (230 nucleotides) under uncultured Alicycliphilus sp. Its description in RNAcentral is "partial 16S ribosomal RNA". It matches the Rfam family "Bacterial small subunit ribosomal RNA", at positions 548 to 774 of the family's 1533-position model. Lineage: Bacteria; Pseudomonadati; Pseudomonadota; Betaproteobacteria; Burkholderiales; Comamonadaceae. The record is from RNAcentral.